RNAcentral lists this ribosomal RNA (446 nucleotides) under uncultured bacterium. Its description in RNAcentral is "bacterial SSU rRNA". It matches the Rfam family "Bacterial small subunit ribosomal RNA", at positions 329 to 792 of the family's 1533-position model. The record is from RNAcentral.
GCCCAGACUCCUACGGGAGGCAGCAGUGGGGAAUAUUGCACAAUGGGGGAAACCCUGAUGCAGCGACGCCGCGUGAGUGAAGAAGUAUUUCGGUAUGUAAAGCUCUAUCAGCAGGGAAGAAAAUGACGGUACCUGACUAAGAAGCCCCGGCUAACUACGUGCCAGCAGCCGCGGUAAUACGUAGGGGGCAAGCGUUAUCCGGAUUUACUGGGUGUAAAGGGAGCGUAGACGGCACUGCAAGUCCGGAGUGAAAGCUCAAGGCUUAACCAUGGGACUGCUCUGGAAACUGUGGAGCUUGAGUGCGGGAGGGGCAGGCGGAAUUCCUAGUGUAGCGGUGAAAUGCGUAGAUAUUAGGAGGAACACCGGCGGCGAAGGCGGCCUGCUGGACCGUAACUGACGUUGAGGCUCGAAAGCGUGGGGAGCAAACAGGAUUAGAUACCCUAGUA